AUCAACUUUCGAUGGUAGGAUAGAGGCCUACCAUGGUGGUAACGGGUAACGGGGUGUUAGGGCACGACACCGGAGAGGGAGCCUGAGAAACGGCUACCACAUCCAAGGAUGGCAGCAGGCGCGCAAAUUACCCAAUCCCGACACGGGGAGGUAGUGACAAUAAAUAACAAUACGGGGUCCUUUCGGGUUUCGUAAUUGGAAUGAGUACAAUUUAAAUCUCUUAACGAGGAACAAUUGGAGGGCAAGUCUGGUGCCAGCAGCCGCGGUAAUUCCAGCUCCAAUAGCGUAUAUUAAAGUUGUUGCAGUUAAAAAGCUCGUAGUUGAAUUUCGGGAUUAGUACGUUGGUCGUGCCUUCGGUACGUACUGGUGUUACUGAUUCCUACCUUCUGACGAACCAUCAUGUCAUUAAUUUGGUGUGGUGGGGAAUCAGGACUGUUACUUUGAAAAAAUUAGAGUGUUUAAAGCAGGCUCGCGCUUGAAUACAUUAGCAUGGAAUAAUGAAAUAGGACGUUGACCCUAUUUUGUUGGUUUCUAGGAUUGACGUAAUGAUUAAUAGGGAUAGUUGGGGCCAUUAGUAUUCAAUUGUCAGAGGUGAAAUUCUUGGAUUUAUUGAAGACUAACUACUGCGAAAGCAUUUGCCAAGGAUGUUUUCAUUAAUCAAGAACGAAAGUUAGGGGAUCGAAGACGAUCAGAUACCGUCGUAGUCUUAACCAUAAACUAUGCCGACUAGGGAUCGGAUGAUGUUAUUUUUAAUGACUCAUUCGGCGCCUUACGGGAAACCAAAGUGUUUGGGUUC
RNAcentral lists this ribosomal RNA (796 nucleotides) under uncultured Glomeromycotina. RNAcentral's name for it is "SSU rRNA". It matches the Rfam family "Eukaryotic small subunit ribosomal RNA", at positions 314 to 1114 of the family's 1831-position model. Lineage: Eukaryota; Fungi; Glomeromycota. The record is from RNAcentral.